AAGGAAUAUUGGACAAUGGAGGCAACUCUGAUCCAGCCAUGCCGCGUGAAGGAAUAAGGCCCUAUGGGUUGUAAACUUCUUUUAGACGGGACAAAACCCCUUUACGUGUAAAGGGUUGAUGGUACUGUCAGAAUAAGCAUCGGCUAACUUCGUGCCAGCAGCCGCGGUAAUACGAAGGAUGCAAGCGUUAUCCGGAAUUAUUGGGUUUAAAGGGUGCGUAGGCGGACUAAUAAGUCAGUGGUGAAAGCCUGCAGCUUAACUGCAGAAUUGCCAUUGNUACUGUUAGUCUUGAGUACAGUUGGGGUAGGCGGAAUGUGUCAUGUAGCGGUGAAAUGCUUAGAUAUGACACAGAACACCGAUUGCGAAGGCAGCUUGCUAAGCUGUAACUGACGCUGAGGCACGAAAGCGUGGGGAGCAAACA
RNAcentral lists this ribosomal RNA (421 nucleotides) under uncultured bacterium. Its description in RNAcentral is "bacterial SSU rRNA". It matches the Rfam family "Bacterial small subunit ribosomal RNA", at positions 356 to 774 of the family's 1533-position model. The record is from RNAcentral.